AUGUCUUAUAAGCUCCAGCUACCAGAAGGCAGUCGUAUCCAUCCUGUCUUCCAUGUGUCACAACUGAAGCCUUUCACACCAGAUUACUCGCCGGUGUUCUUCGAGCUGCCCCGCACACCGGACCUCACCGCGGCUCCACUCCAACCUGUCGCCAUCUUGGAUCGCCGCAUGGUCAAGAAAGGAAACAACCCCGUGGUCCAGGUACGCGUCUAGUGGUCAUCGCUCUCUAUGGAGUCUGCAACCUGGGAAGAUUACAAUGUGUUGCGCCAUCGCUACCCGGCGGCACCAUGCUGGACCGACGAUGCUGCAGCUCAUGGAGGGGCAACUGUCACACCUGAUACAAGUGUAUCGGUGGACACAUGA
RNAcentral lists this ribosomal RNA (363 nucleotides) under Triticum aestivum (bread wheat). RNAcentral's name for it is "partial small subunit ribosomal RNA". The record is from RNAcentral. Lineage: Eukaryota; Viridiplantae; Streptophyta; Magnoliopsida; Poales; Poaceae.